Temnothorax curvispinosus is the source of this 1321-nucleotide long non-coding RNA. RefSeq lists it as uncharacterized. Lineage: Eukaryota; Metazoa; Arthropoda; Insecta; Hymenoptera; Formicidae. The record is from RefSeq and is a predicted model, not a curated record. The transcript has 4 exons.
CAAGAUAAAGUAGUGUGUAGAAAUGAGAAGAGUAAUAUUCAAGAUUCACAAACGAACAAGCAAGAUAAAGUAGUGUGUAGAAAUGAGAAGAGUAACAGCACCAAUUCCUGUAAACCAACGCAACAGUUGCACGGUACAGUUGACGCAAAAACUAUAAUGACUGCAAUAAAUGAAUUGCGAAAUCAAAUUGAUAAGCUUCAUGUAACCGUUACAAAAAUUUAUACUGCAACGUGUAAUUCUAUCGAAACACUUGAGAACUCUACUACUAAUAACAUUCCAACCCUUCCAUUGACUUCUAUAGAGGAAUUCUGGAAAUGAGAAGACUAUAUAUCGGAUGAAGAGAACAAAUUGAGAAUAAUUUCACUGUUAGUAGAGCAUGGCAGGGAAGAUUUGAAGAGUUCUGUGUAUUGCAUUAUGCGCAAGCUAAAAAAUAACAAAGUCGCAAUGAAUUUUAAUUUAAAGGGAAUUAACAGAGAAGGAGCAAAAAUGGAAAAAAAGAAAUUUUUAGAUAUUAUAUCUUAUAAACUUGUUAUUGCUGCUGUAAAGAGGCAUAAAAAAGAAAUGACCGAUAGAGGUGUCAAUUUCUUAUAUAAUACAGAAAUUGCAGCCAGUUAUAUUGCCAGUUGGUUGAAGGAUGCAAAAAAGCGUCAUGAAAACGAAGAAUUGAAAUUAAAGAAGAUUGAGCAGCGAGACAAGGACUGUGAAAAUAAUGCAAAUGCAUAGAAAAGAGAAUAUUUUUGCGGUUUUACAUUCUAUUCAUAUAUUUUGCUGAACGUUUAUACGUUUUUCUUUGUACAAUUACAUACCUUUUUUGUAAUAUGUUUCGAACACUUUUCUUCGGCUUUAAUGAUCUGUUAAGUUCCGUUUUUUCUUGUCUUGUUUUGUUGAAAAGUUUGCAUUUUUAUCUUGGUCUCUCAGGUUUUCGAAAAAAUUUUCAGUUGAUAUAAGAAGCAAUUUUUCACUACGCUUGGUAUAUAGACUAUACAUAUUUAUUAUGACAGAAAUAGUAUAAAAUGAGCAACAUAACAUUUUUUUAUAACACACUGCUUUUCUCUGAUUUUUAUUUCAUAUAUAAUAUCAAAUAUUGUAAGAAAAGAUAUCAAUCACACAUAAUUGCACUACAAAAAAUGUAAAGUGUACAGGAUUGCUUUUUGCACAAAAGUAUGAGAUAAGAAUAGAUAUAUAUAAUUUUGUAUAUAAUAAUACAUUUUGUAUUUUGUAAAGUUUUAACACCAAACUUGUAAAAGCUAUCUCUCUUUAUACUUUCCAUUUUUUAUUCUGGGUUGACAGAAAUUUGUGAUGACUGAUAUAAAAAUUUUUA